UAUUAUUUUGGAUUUAAAUUUUAAGACUUGAGUAGUAUUAGUUAUGGCCUUGAAACUUAAAGAAUUUGGCGGUAUUUUAGUCUAUUUAGAGGAAUCUGUUCCGUUAUCGAUAUUCCACGUUGGACCUUACUUAUUUUUAUUAUUUGUAUACCGCCGUUUAUUUGAAAAUCUUGAUAGGGGAAAUUUUCUUAAUAUUUGAUUUUAUUAUAUUUCAGGUCAAGGUGCAGUUUAUAAUUAAGUGGAAAUGGAUUACAAUAUAUUUAUAUAUGAAUUAUGAAUUGUAAUAAUUUAUAUGAAGGUGGAUUUAAUAGUAAUUUUAAUAAGAAUAUUAUUAUGAUUUUAGCUCUAUAAUGUGCACACAUCGCCCGUCGCUCUCACUAUUAAGGUGAG
This 390-nucleotide ribosomal RNA is filed under the name Stictolampra sp. ZW-2018. RNAcentral's name for it is "partial 12S ribosomal RNA". Lineage: Eukaryota; Metazoa; Arthropoda; Insecta; Blattodea; Blaberidae. The record is from RNAcentral.